This 235-nucleotide ribosomal RNA is filed under the name Paenibacillus thalictri. Its description in RNAcentral is "Paenibacillus sp. N2SHLJ1 partial 23S ribosomal RNA". It matches the Rfam family "Bacterial large subunit ribosomal RNA", at positions 2690 to 2925 of the family's 2925-position model. The record is from RNAcentral. Lineage: Bacteria; Bacillati; Bacillota; Bacilli; Caryophanales; Paenibacillaceae.
GACCGGGAUGGACGUACCGCUGGUGUACCAGUUGUCUCGCCAGAGGCACGGCUGGAUAGCCAAGUACGGAAGGGAUAAGCGCUGAAAGCAUCUAAGCGUGAAGCCCCCCUCAAGAUGAGAUUUCCCAGUAUGUAAGACCCCUUGUAGACGACGAGGUAGAUAGGUUCGGGGUGGAAGCGCGGUAACGUGUGCAGCUGACGAAUACUAAUCGGUCGAGGGCUUAACCAAACAUCCC